RNAcentral lists this long non-coding RNA (986 nucleotides) under Parus major (Great Tit). RNAcentral describes it as "lncRNA (ENSPMJG00000018711.1)". The record is from RNAcentral. Lineage: Eukaryota; Metazoa; Chordata; Aves; Passeriformes; Paridae.
UUAAUGAAGUCCCCUCUCAGUUGCCUCUUCACCCACUCAGCCUUUCUUCACAAUGCUCCUUAACGAUCUUUGUUGCCCUCUGCUGGCCCCCAGGUUUGGGGUGUCGGAAGUCAGUAAUAAACAGGGGUGGGAGUGGAGUAUUGAUGUGUGAGGGGAAGGUAGGAGGGUGGAAGGAUGGAAAAGGAAAAAAAGGUGUCCGGGGGAGAGUAGUCUGAAUUGGGUUAUGGGGCGCUGCCCCACCUCACCCAUUGGACUCAGCGCGCAGGCCGUGAGUCUGUCUCAAAGCACCGCGGGGCCACGAGCAUCCGCCGGGGUUCGCGGGGGAACCGCUGCGGCUUCUCCUGCCCGGGCCGGCCCGCGCGGCGCCCCCCCUUGCUGGUGGCUCACCCGCCCGUCGCGGGCGGGGCCCUGCUGGGGCCGCGGGCGGCCCUUCCCUCAGACCUUCCCCGAGGCGGGGCGCGGGUGACGCGCACCCCGUGGCUGGCCUCGGCAGUGAGCUUCCCCCGGACGCCUGCAAGGACGUUUCGGGUUACUUAUAUAGCCUCACUUAGGCGACUUUUUCAGCUCAGGGGCUGCUUGGCUCCCAGGACCACAGAGCUGGAAGUGACAGGCCGAGCCCAGGAUGCUGUGCUGGGGAGCAGGAAUCCUUUUGAAGAUACUCCUGCAUACUUCAUGUGUACCAGAAGCAGGCUGUUUUCCUUUUUCCUUGCUUAAAGGUAAGAUUUAAUUGAACCAGGGAGAAGUCAGUGUUGCUGUGUCGUUUACUGAUCUGAUGGCUGUUUGGAGCUGGGUCUGAAAGUGUCUGGAAGCGGAGUUCCUUCAGCCAUGCUGCUCUGGGCAGUGUGUCUGUGAUUCCCAGAGGGCAGCAGGAGAGGAAAGAUGCUACUGAGGUGCCUCCCAGAGAGAAAAGGUAUUUGUCAUGUAGCUGUAACCAGCCACUCUUCAAAUCAAAUUUGGUCACCCAGGCUGCCUGCUGCUUUCCCUCU